ACUUUUAAAGGAAAGCAGUUAUCCAGUGGUCUUAGGAUCCCAGAGUCCUGGUGCAAAUCCAAGUAAAAGUAAUG
RNAcentral lists this transfer RNA (74 nucleotides) under Furcifer labordi. Its description in RNAcentral is "partial tRNA-Leu". It matches the Rfam family "tRNA". Rfam says of the family: Transfer RNA (tRNA) molecules are approximately 80 nucleotides in length. Their secondary structure includes four short double-helical elements and three loops (D, anti-codon, and T loops). The record is from RNAcentral. Lineage: Eukaryota; Metazoa; Chordata; Lepidosauria; Squamata; Chamaeleonidae.